This is a small nucleolar RNA of Callithrix jacchus (white-tufted-ear marmoset), 104 nucleotides long. NCBI's taxonomy places the organism in Eukaryota, Metazoa, Chordata, Mammalia, Primates, Cebidae. The record is from Ensembl.
AUCCUUUUGUAGUUUAUGAGAGUGAUGAUUAGAUUUUCAUGCUUAUGUGUGAAACGUGCCUCCCUCAAACCUUGUUAUGACGUUGGCAUACUGUCCAUCUGAAA